Molecule: ribosomal RNA, 138 nt
Filed under: uncultured eukaryote
Lineage: Eukaryota
Description: partial 18S ribosomal RNA
Rfam family: Eukaryotic small subunit ribosomal RNA
Source: RNAcentral
UGGUGGAGUGAUUUGUCUGGUUAAUUCCGAUAACGAACGAGACCUUAUCUUGCUAAAUAGCUAGACUAAGCCUUGCUUGGUUAUAGCUUCUUAGAGGGACUGUUGGCGUUUAGCCAAUGGAAGUUUGAGGCAAUAACA